CCUACGGGAGGCAGCAGUGAGGAAUAUUGGUCAAUGGCCGAGAGGCUGAACCAGCCAAGUCGCGUGAGGGAAGACGGCCCUACGGGUUGUAAACCUCUUUUGUCGGGGAGCAAAGCGAGUCACGUGUGACUCAUUGAGAGUACCCGAAGAAAAAGCAUCGGCUAACUCCGUGCCAGCAGCCGCGGUAAUACGGAGGAUGCGAGCGUUAUCCGGAUUUAUUGGGUUUAAAGGGUGCGCAGGCGGAGGUGCAAGUCAGCGGUCAAAUUGCGGGGCUCAACCCCGUACUGCCGUUGAAACUGCAGCCCUUGAGUGCGCGAGAAGUAGGCGGAAUGCGUGGUGUAGCGGUGAAAUGCAUAGAUAUCACGCAGAACUCCGAUUGCGAAGGCAGCAUACCGGCGCGCAACUGACGCUCAUGCACGAAAGCGUGGGUAUCGAACAGGAUUAGAUACCCCUGUAGUG
This 459-nucleotide ribosomal RNA is filed under the name uncultured bacterium. RNAcentral's name for it is "partial 16S ribosomal RNA". It matches the Rfam family "Bacterial small subunit ribosomal RNA", at positions 338 to 795 of the family's 1533-position model. The record is from RNAcentral.